AGUUGACUCCUAGAGGAAAGCAGUCUGAAAGGCAGAGAACCAAUCUCGGAGAUCCUGUGAACGAGUCGACUCCAAGUGUUUCAGAGUCGACCUCCGAGUCAGCCGAGUCGACUCCAACAAGGCCUGAGUCGACUUCGAGGCAGAUCAGUUCAAAAGACAGAGAAUCGAUUUUUCGGCCUCUGAGAACGAGACGUCUUCCGAAGAUCACGAGUCGCCUCUUAAGACAGCCGAGUCGACUCGAGGAAGA
Molecule: long non-coding RNA, 247 nt
Filed under: Phoenix dactylifera (date palm)
Lineage: Eukaryota; Viridiplantae; Streptophyta; Magnoliopsida; Arecales; Arecaceae
Description: long non-coding RNA (PDAC_LNC012547)
Source: RNAcentral